AAAUUGAAGAGUUUGAUCAUGGCUCAGAUUGAACGCUGGCGGCAGGCCUAACACAUGCAAGUCGAACGGUAACAGGAAACAGCUUGCUGUUUCGCUGACGAGUGGCGGACGGGUGAGUAAUGUCUGGGAAACUGCCUGAUGGAGGGGGAUAACUACUGGAAACGGUAGCUAAUACCGCAUAACGUCGCAAGACCAAAGAGGGGGACCUUCGGGCCUCUUGCCAUCGGAUGUGCCCAGAUGGGAUUAGCUAGUAGGUGGGGUAACGGCUCACCUAGGCGACGAUCCCUAGCUGGUCUGAGAGGAUGACCAGCCACACUGGAACUGAGAC
Molecule: ribosomal RNA, 328 nt
Filed under: Escherichia coli
Lineage: Bacteria; Pseudomonadati; Pseudomonadota; Gammaproteobacteria; Enterobacterales; Enterobacteriaceae
Description: bacterial SSU rRNA
Rfam family: Bacterial small subunit ribosomal RNA
Source: RNAcentral